UAUCCAAAUUGAAGCUAUAAUCGGA
RNAcentral lists this small nuclear RNA (25 nucleotides) under Arabidopsis thaliana (thale cress). RNAcentral describes it as "snRNA_12043". The record is from RNAcentral. Lineage: Eukaryota; Viridiplantae; Streptophyta; Magnoliopsida; Brassicales; Brassicaceae.